AUCUGAAGAGCUCCUGCAGCAGCUCUGAAAAUACAGCUUCCAUUCUUGACAUCUCAGUAGAAGGCUUUAAAAUCCUUUCUUCCUUUUUAAGUUUUGAUCUGUGCCUAAAACAGGAAGGAUGAUGCAUCUUUUCCUCACAAUUGUAAUAAAAAAGCUGUUCCCACUCCAAGGGCUGCUUCCUUGCCUCCUUACACCUGUGUGAGCACACCAGCUGCAAGACAUGAUCUAGUAAUGACCCAGUGUCUGCCUGACCCUGCUGCUGCAGCUGGCUUUUACUGAAGCUGCCUUUUCAGGGCACUGUUCUUUGUGCAGAAGUGGAGCAAAAGAAGAAAUCUGGAGGUCCCUGACAGUACCAGCACAGAGGGAACCCUGGGCUGGAGGAUUGGGUGGCUCAAGGGGCCGAGCAGAGCUUUCCACUGGACCCCAGCUCUGCUGGAAGCCAUCACUGCCUCAGCUUGGUAGAGCCACCAGGUCAGUGAUUUCCUGCCAAGAUUCUACCAGAGCCAGGAUUUUGCAGCUUGUGUUUUCCCUGUGGAACCAGGGAGGAGUUCCCAGGCAUAGUCUGACUCUGUGCUGGAGCAGCAUCACUGCUGGGAAGUCAGAUUCCCCUGGAACUGGGAUGGCACAAUUGUUCCAGAAAAGGCCUGGUCUAAAGUUAAGGGAGGUUCUCAGCAUGGGGAGGAGAGAGAAGGGCUGGGGACAGGAUACCUGGAGCAUUGUGCAGCUGGGAAAGACAAGGAAAGGGCAAUCCUGCACAUCCUGGCUCACACACGCUCCCAGGUUUAGAACAUCAGAUGACUCUUAG
Molecule: long non-coding RNA, 805 nt
Filed under: Parus major (Great Tit)
Lineage: Eukaryota; Metazoa; Chordata; Aves; Passeriformes; Paridae
Description: lncRNA (ENSPMJG00000005828.1)
Source: RNAcentral